RNAcentral lists this transfer RNA (90 nucleotides) under Stegodyphus mimosarum. It matches the Rfam family "tRNA". From Rfam's summary of the family: Transfer RNA (tRNA) molecules are approximately 80 nucleotides in length. Their secondary structure includes four short double-helical elements and three loops (D, anti-codon, and T loops). Further hydrogen bonds mediate the characteristic L-shaped molecular structure. tRNAs have two regions of fundamental functional importance: the anti-codon, which is responsible for specific mRNA codon recognition, and the 3' end, to which the tRNAs corresponding amino acid is attached (by aminoacyl-tRNA synthetases). tRNAs cope with the degeneracy of the genetic code in two manners: having more than one tRNA (with a specific anti-codon) for a particular amino acid; and 'wobble' base-pairing, i.e. permitting non-standard base-pairing at the 3rd anti-codon position. The record is from Rfam by way of RNAcentral. Lineage: Eukaryota; Metazoa; Arthropoda; Arachnida; Araneae; Eresidae.
GCCUCGGUAGCGCAGUAGGCAGCGCGUCAGUCUCAUAAUCUCUCAUUGCGAGAAAUCUGAAGGUUGUGAGUUCGAUCCUCACUUGGGGCA